GCGGGGGCAUAAAGAAGAUACGGUUUCCCCAUUUAUGCAGAUUUGAUAUUGUUUCCUGAUCUUGUUAUAUGGUUUUCUCAUUUAUGCAGAUUUGAUGUUGUUUCCUGAUCUUGUUAUAUUUCCCCAUCUUGUUUUGAUUUUAUUCUCCAAUUUUAUUUUCUUUUCCUGAUUUUCUGGUGUUUUCCAAUUUUGGUUGUAAAUCA
Molecule: long non-coding RNA, 203 nt
Filed under: Elaeis guineensis (African oil palm)
Lineage: Eukaryota; Viridiplantae; Streptophyta; Magnoliopsida; Arecales; Arecaceae
Description: long non-coding RNA (EGUI_LNC032015)
Source: RNAcentral